CAAACCGAAGAUGGCGACCGGCGCACGGGUGAGUAACACGUAUCCAACCUGCCGAUAACUCCGGAAUAGCCUUUCGAAAGAAAGAUUAAUACCGGAUGGCAUACGAAUAUCGCAUGAUAUUUUUAUUAAAGAAUUUCGGUUAUCGAUGGGGAUGCGUUCCAUUAGGCAGUUGGUGGGGUAACGGCCCACCAAACCUUCGAUGGAUAGGGGUUCUGAGAGGAAGGUCCCCCACAUUGGAACUGAGACACGGUCCAAACUCCUACGGGAGGCAGCAUG
This 276-nucleotide ribosomal RNA is filed under the name uncultured bacterium. RNAcentral's name for it is "partial 16S ribosomal RNA". It matches the Rfam family "Bacterial small subunit ribosomal RNA", at positions 79 to 353 of the family's 1533-position model. The record is from RNAcentral.